AGGGAAAACAAGCCAUUUUCUCUCCCUUAUCCCAACAGGAUAUAAUUGACACAGCAUGUGAAGUCUUGGCAGACCCUUCUCUUCCAGAACUAUUCUGGGGAACAGAGCCAACCUCUGGUCUUGGGAUCAUUCUGGACAGUGUAUGUGGAAUGUUUCCCCAUCUCCUCUCCCCACUCCUACAAUUGCUACGGGCCCUCGUAUCAGGGAAAUCUACUGCCAAAAAGGUAUAUAGUUUCUUGGAUAAAAUGUCUUUCUACAAUGAGCUUUAUAAGCAUAAGCCCCAUGAUGUGAUCUCCCAUGAAGAUGGAACUCUCUGGCGGAGGCAAACACCCAAACUCCUUUACCCACUUGGUAAGAUAAAGACCUUGGUUUAGUAACCU
Long non-coding RNA from Myotis lucifugus (little brown bat), 380 nucleotides. RefSeq lists it as uncharacterized. NCBI's taxonomy places the organism in Eukaryota, Metazoa, Chordata, Mammalia, Chiroptera, Vespertilionidae. The transcript has 3 exons. The record is from RefSeq and is a predicted model, not a curated record.